AUUGAACGCUGGCGGCAGGCCUAACACAUGCAAGUCGAGCGAGCGGCGGACGGGUGAGUAAUGUCUGGGAAACUGCCCGUUGGAGGGGGAUAACUACUGGAAACGGUAGCUAAUACCGCAUACCCUCAGAUGUGCCCAGAUGGGGUUAUCUAGUAGGUGGGGUAACGGCUCACCUAGGCGACGAUCCCUAGCGGGUCUGUGAGGAUGACCAGCCACACUGGAACUGAGACACGGUCCAGACUCCUACGGGAGGCAGCAGUGGGGAAUAUUGCACAAUGGGCGCAAGCCUGAUGCAGCCAUGCCGCGUGUGUGAAGAAGGCCUUCGGGUUGUAAAGCACUUUAAGUUGGGAGGCGUUACCAGCAGAAUAAGCACCGGCUAACUUCGUGCCAGCCGCCGCGGUAAUAC
Molecule: ribosomal RNA, 406 nt
Filed under: uncultured bacterium
Lineage: Bacteria
Description: partial 16S ribosomal RNA
Rfam family: Bacterial small subunit ribosomal RNA
Source: RNAcentral